RNAcentral lists this ribosomal RNA (427 nucleotides) under uncultured bacterium. RNAcentral's name for it is "bacterial SSU rRNA". It matches the Rfam family "Bacterial small subunit ribosomal RNA", at positions 355 to 774 of the family's 1533-position model. The record is from RNAcentral.
UGGGGAAUAUUGGACAAUGGGGGCAACCCUGAUCCAGCAAUGCCGCGUGUGUGAAGAAGGCCUUCGGGUUGUAAAGCACUUUUAUCGGGAACGAAACAUUGUCGGCCAAUACCCGGCAAGACUGACGGUACCCGAGGAAUAAGCACCGGCUAACUCCGUGCCAGCAGCCGCGGUAAUACGGAGGGUGCAAGCGUUACUCGGAAUUACUGGGCGUAAAGCGUGAGUAGGUGGUUGUUUAAGUCUGAUGUGAAAGCCCUGGGCUCAACCUGGGAAUGGCAUUGGAAACUGGGCAGCUGGAGUGCGGUAGAGGGUAGUGGAAUUCCCGGUGUAGCAGUGAAAUGCGUAGAGAUCGGGAGGAACAUCUGUGGCGAAGGCGACUGCCUGGACCAGCACUGACACUGAGGCACGAAAGCGUGGGGAGCAAACA